Molecule: ribosomal RNA, 253 nt
Filed under: uncultured bacterium
Lineage: Bacteria
Description: partial 16S ribosomal RNA
Rfam family: Bacterial small subunit ribosomal RNA
Source: RNAcentral
UACAGAGGUGGCAAGCGUUGUUCGGAAUUACUGGGCGUAAAGGGCGCGUAGGCGGUCUUCUAAGUCUUGUGUGAAAUCCCUCGGCUCAACUGAGGAACUGCACGGGAUACUGGAAGACUUGAGUUCGGGAGAGGGAAGCGGAAUUCCGGGUGUAGCGGUGAAAUGCGUAGAUAUCCGGAGGAACACCGGUGGCGAAGGCGGCUUCCUGGACCAGCACCGACGUUCAGGCACGAAAGCGUGGGGAGCAAACAGG